Molecule: ribosomal RNA, 502 nt
Filed under: Staphylococcus aureus
Lineage: Bacteria; Bacillati; Bacillota; Bacilli; Caryophanales; Staphylococcaceae
Description: partial 23S ribosomal RNA
Rfam family: Bacterial large subunit ribosomal RNA
Source: RNAcentral
UUCAUAGAGUGUAAAGGCAUAAGGGAGCUUGACUGCGAGACCUACAAGUCGAGCAGGGUCGAAAGACGGACUUAGUGAUCCGGUGGUUCCGCAUGGAAGGGCCAUCGCUCAACGGAUAAAAGCUACCCCGGGGAUAACAGGCUUAUCUCCCCCAAGAGUUCACAUCGACGGGGAGGUUUGGCACCUCGAUGUCGGCUCAUCGCAUCCUGGGGCUGUAGUCGGUCCCAAGGGUUGGGCUGUUCGCCCAUUAAAGCGGUACGCGAGCUGGGUUCAGAACGUCGUGAGACAGUUCGGUCCCUAUCCGUCGUGGGCGUAGGAAAUUUGAGAGGAGCUGUCCUUAGUACGAGAGGACCGGGAUGGACAUACCUCUGGUGUACCAGUUGUCGUGCCAACGGCAUAGCUGGGUAGCUAUGUGUGGACGGGAUAAGUGCUGAAAGCAUCUAAGCAUGAAGCCCCCCUCAAGAUGAGAUUUCCCAACUUCGGUUAUAAGAUCCCUCAAAGA